GCACCCGCGGUAAUUCCAGCUCCAAUAGCGUAUAUUAAAGUUGUUGCAGUUAAAAAGCUCGUAGUUGGAUUUCUGGGAGAGUGGCGAUGUCCGCUUAACGUGUGUGCAGCGGCGCUCUUCCAUCCUUCUGUUAGCGUCUCUUGGCAUUCAUUUGCUGGUGGCGGGCUCAGAUAUUUUACCUUGAGAAAAUUAGAGUGUUUCAGGCAGGCUAGGCCGGAAUACAUUAGCAUGGAAUAAUGGAAUAGGACUACGGUCUCUUUGUUGGUUUGAGGGACUGCAGUAAUGAUUAAUAGGGAUAGUUGGGGGCAUUAGUAUUUAAUUGUCAGAGGUGGAAUUCUCAGAUUUGUUAAAGACUAACCUAUGCGAAAGCAUUUGCCAAGGAUGUUUUCAUUAAUCAAGAACGAAAGU
This 408-nucleotide ribosomal RNA is filed under the name uncultured eukaryote. Its description in RNAcentral is "SSU rRNA". It matches the Rfam family "Eukaryotic small subunit ribosomal RNA", at positions 570 to 990 of the family's 1831-position model. The record is from RNAcentral.